Molecule: ribosomal RNA, 460 nt
Filed under: uncultured bacterium
Lineage: Bacteria
Description: partial 16S ribosomal RNA
Rfam family: Bacterial small subunit ribosomal RNA
Source: RNAcentral
CCUACGGGUGGCAGCAGUGAGGAAUAUUGGUCAAUGGCCGGAAGGCUGAACCAGCCAAGUCGCGUGAGGGAAUAAGGCCCUAUGGGUCGUAAACCUCUUUUGUCAGGGAGAAAAGGCGUCCACGAGUGGACGAAAGGAGAGUAACUGAAGAAAAAGCAUCGGCUAACUACGUGCCAGCAGCAGCGGUAAUACGGAGGAUGCGAGCGUUAUCCGGAUUUAUUGGGUUUAAUGGGUGCGUAGGCGGAGUGUCAAGUCAGCGGUAAAAGUUCGGGGCUCAACCCCGUCGUGACGUUGAAACUGACACCCGUGAGUGAGUGAGAAGUAAGCGGAAUGCGUGGUGUAGCGGUGAAAUGCGUAGAUAUUAGGAGGAACACCAGUGGCGAAGGCGGCUUACUGGACAGUAACUGACGUUGAGGCUCGAAAGCGUGGGGAGCAAACAGGAUUAGAUACCCCUGUAGUC